AGACCGCCCAGGAGGCGGCGGCUAUUGUUCCCCGCAGGGGCCCGGGGCGCCCUGAAACGGGGUCCACGUCAGCCCGCUCCCGAGCGUGUCCUCAGGUCUAAGGACGGGUGGGGCUUCCUUUGUGUGUUCUCUGGAAGGGGCUGGGAUGGCGUCGUUGCUGCCCCAAGGGGUAACCGAGGGGGAUUGAGGGAAGAUGGUACCAGCUCCCUAGAGCUCAGCUCACCAGACCUACUCUUCCGCUCGACCCUUGCAGAGGAGGUGGGGACGGAUAUGGUAUUUGUAGGGCAGCGCUGUGAACAAUGGAGCCAUCAAAAAGGCCUUCUCCCAGCCUCCUCACCAACCACGGACAUUCCUGGCCCAACAAGACCUCCUGGCCAGGUUUUGAGCCCUGCUUCCCAGAUCUGGGGACCCUUCACCUGCCUCUACUACUGCAAAUGAUUGGAUAUUCGUCUGACUUGGCUCUUCCCUAAUGUGUGGAACUAAUUUUGUUCACUCUGUUUCAUGCUGGACCUGGCCUGAAAAUGGGCCCUUAUAUUGUCUUUGCACUUUCCAACUUGCCAAGUUUCUGAAAGAAGGACCAAAGUAAUGCCAAGAACUCCCAGAUGAAGAGGACCUUCCUUAGACCUAUAACAGAUUCACUACUUGACUUCAGAGGGAAGUUUCAGCUAAUUCUCAGGAAAAGGUCAAAACAGGCCUGUGACUGUCCCUUGAAUACUGAAGGUAUAAACAAGCUUCUGGCUCCUCCAGGUCAAGCAGAGGAACACUUUUAUUAGAAUGAAGGGUUACUUCUUUGUUAUUCAAACACACACCCACACACAUCCUCUGUAGUCUCCCUAAUGAAAAACCUCAACAGAUGGAGAGCCUGAGCUCCCAAGUCCGCAGGCUGAGAAGAUGCACUUCACUCAAGGGCCAGUGGGCUGGUACAGACUAGGGAAGAGAAAAGGGACAAAGGCUGCUAGUAUAGGUAAUCACUAUCUUUUAAUACUCCUAACACAUAGAAAUUCGAAAAAUCUUGUUCAGCAAUGUUAGCAGCCUGUGAGCCUCGGAAACUAAUUUGGCUGAUGUGUCUCUGAUAGGGAGCUUGGGGCUGCACCAAGGGGAAACAUUCUCCUCCUGUAUUCUCUCCUCUCUCUCGUUUGAAAGCCUGUACAAAGAAAUGGUACAAAUGGAUGGUUAACUUAAUGAUUCCAUCAGAGGCAGAUUUUUCUCUGUCAGGUCCCUGGAUAAGGUGGAGGUCUGAAAGCCAGGAGACAGAAUAUGUACUUAAUCGCCCUUUCUGACCUGCUUACCAGUGACCAGGACUACUCUCCAGGCCUUUCUUCUGCCACUUCCCCAUUCUUCCUGGCUAGUUCAGUUGGGUCUCAGCACUUCAACUCCUGGCUGGAUCCUGAGUUUUUCUUGGUUGCAGGGAAAGCUCUCACUGUCUGCAUCUCCUUCCCCACCCCCACCUCCCGUUUUGCAGCUGGCCAUUCUGGCUGCCUCACAGCUAUCCUGCCUUAAUUCAUAUUUGAUUGCCUGGACAGAACCACCUAGAAUGUCCAGACGACUGCCACCCCUCAGCCAUGGGCCUGAGAUCCUGCCCUGACCCCUUUCUUCAGACCCCAGGAGGACCCACAAUCUCCCUGAUCCCCACCUUCCCCAAAGUAGUCUCUAGGAAAAAAGCAGAGCUGGCUAAGGCCUGAGACAGAGCCAUUUCUUCCCCUUGGGCAAACGAGGUAGACCCUCCCAGAGACCAAUGCCGGAGAGGCCCGGAUCCGAGCUCCCUUUAUAUGGCCUCCCCCAUCACGGAUCCCGUGGGAAAACCUGACACACAAUGGCGCGGCUGCUCCGGGCACCCUCAACCCAGCGCCCUGCGGCAAGGCCUGGAGCAGCCUGGUGGUCUUGGUGCGCUCCCUUUGCCCUCCCCGCAACCCUCUGCGAGCACUCGUCCCAGGAGAGAGACCCUGGCUAGGGUGGAGGUUGCCUCCCGCAAAGGGCGCUGUUGCUGGGGCCUCCCCUCCCCCAUUCUCUUGUUUUUCUGCUUCUGAGACUCGGGAGGGAGGCGGCAGGCGCCUCCGCAGCCGAUAGAGCAGCUAUUGUGACCUUCCCUUGCAGAGCGGGAACCCAGCCGAGUGUGUACCGCCGGCGGUGGCGGGGGAGGAGGCGACUGUGUGUGCAAACCUCAGUCGGAGAGGGGGUGGCGCUGGGAAAUAAAGGUUUGCAACCUCAGGCAGUUGGGCCCUUCAGAGGGCGUUUGGUUGUGUUUAGACUCGGUUGCUUUCUAACACUAAUUGCAGGCUCAAAAGGAGCGGAAUUUAUUGCGAAGGCCAAGGCGGCUUGUUUAUAAUUUAUGAAGUUUUAAAUGGCUGUGCCGCGGGCCCCAACUUUCUCCUGGGCUGGCAGCCGCGCGGAAACGCGCCCUCCCCCGGCUCGCCGCCCACCCCCACCCACGCCCCUCAGAUGAGUCUCACGCCAAUGGCAGGAACAGAUCCGAGCUAUUAGAAGUCUCGGGAACCUCCAGAGAUGACAGAAGGUGGCAGAUUUGGUCCAAGCCCUCACCCCACUCGAGAGGAGGGCGUCGGGGAAAGCUGUGGCUGCCUGGAGAGGGAGCCCCUGAUCCCACACUUCCUUGGAGCCUGAGUGUGAGAGGAAGCUAAUGUCAGCCGGGCUAGACACCGUUUAAAGUCUAAUCCAUGAAACCCUAAGCCGCAAAUGACACUUGGGGCUUUGCAGACACCCGCAGACUCAGCAGAUACUCCUGCGGUAACACACUGUGCUGGAAAACGCCUGGAGCCAUGACACAUUACGUAUUUUUAUUAUUAUUUAUGGUAGGAAGAGGAGAUGAGGGAAAAUCGGGCUGAAUCUAAGCAGCCUGACAAUUCAGCUAGUUAAUAUUUAGCCAGUUAAGAAAGGUGGUUGUAAUCCCUGCAAGGCAGUGAGCUCUCCUUUGAUUUCUCUAAUAGCUUAAAAAAUAAUUUCUUACAAGACAAUUAGAAAUUCUGCCUAUGGAUGCAAAUUUCAUAGAAAACAAUGUUAAGCCUUGAAAGUGGGUAAAAUGUGCCUUCGAUUGAAGUCAUUUAUUCUGUUGAUACACUUCUACAACAUAUAUAUUUUAAACCUGCUCAGAUAAAGUGAAAUUUAGCAAAAGGAUAUCCCCUCCCACCCCCAAAUCUAACAUGCCAUUUUAAAAACAGCACAAAGGAACAAGGAAACUAAAUAUUAUUUUGAGCCAUCAUUACUUAGUGAAAUACAAACAUCCAAAUAGAAACGAUUGUUGUUCCACCAGAAGAUUAGAAGUUAAAUUAUUUCCACACAAUAGGAAUUUCACUUCGUGUCAUCGGGGAUGUAGUAGGAGUUGCAUUAUUUGUCAAACCAAAUAGAGAUGCGUGGGCUGACUUUGCUGAAAUACAAAAGAAUUGAACCUUAUCUGAAGGCGUUUUCUAAGUGGCCCCUCCCAUAGAAGCCGGGAAGUUGUCCACCCCUAGCAGAAGCCACAUUAAUAUUUACAAAAUGGUUAUAAAUCCUUGAAGACAUUUUUGCCCAUUUUGUAUAAGAAACAGGAGUAAACAAGGUGUUUAUACUUGUUAUGUUUCAUUAAUGAAAUAUUAUUACUUUACAUCUUGGGGAAUGUUUGUUUUCUUUAGAAAUGAACUAAUGAUCACUACAAAGGAAGAAUUCAUGACAGCAUUUCCUAGAGAAAAAGCUUAGGUACGCGUCUCCAAAUGAUGGUUUCUUUUUCUACACCUUAGCUUUUUCAUAGCUCAAUUCUUCUUACAACUUCUCUUGUGUUUUUUCUUUGAUUGUCAGUUUUCUUUCAAAGUUUAUUUUUUGUUACUUAAUGCAGAAAAGUGAGCUCUGGUCUCCCCAGUGUAAAAGUCGAUUGUGUCUAGAAAGAAGGCAGUAAAAACAGCAAAGCAGGCGCUGCUUUCAAAAAGCCCUGCCCAAAUCAUCCCGCCCAGAACCUUCUUAGGUUUGCAUCCUCAUUUCCCCCUCCCCUAAUUUCAAUAGCUGGAAAGUAAUCAAGUAUCCCGAGAACCAAUUUAUGCACUAGACUCCAAAUAAAUAAAAUAUUUUUUUCAAA
This 4060-nucleotide long non-coding RNA is filed under the name Homo sapiens (human). Its description in RNAcentral is "non-protein coding HAGLR:44". The record is from RNAcentral. Lineage: Eukaryota; Metazoa; Chordata; Mammalia; Primates; Hominidae.